GAUGAACGCUGGCGGCGUGCCUAAUACAUGCAAGUCGAGCGAACAGACGAGGAGCUUGCUCCUCUGACGUUAGCGGCGGACGGGUGAGUAACACGUGGAUAACCUACCUAUAAGACUGGGAUAACUUCGGGAAACCGGAGCUAAUACCGGAUAAUAUAUUGAACCGCAUGGUUCAAUAGUGAAAGACGGUUUUGCUUUCACUUAUAGAUGGAUCCGCGCCGCAUUAGCUAGUUGGUAAGGUAACGGCUUACCAAGGCAACGAUGCGUAGCCGACCUGAGAGGGUGAUCGGCCACACUGGAACUGAGACACGGUCCAGACUCCUACGGGGGGCAGCAGUAGGGAAUCCUCCGCAAUGGGCGAAAGCCUGACGGAGCAACGCCGCGUGAGUGAUGAAGGUCUUCGGAUCGUAAAACUCUGUUAUUAGGGAAGAACAAAUGUGUAAGUAACUAUGCACGUAUUGACGGUACCUAAUCAGAAAGCCACGGCUAACUACGUG
This 497-nucleotide ribosomal RNA is filed under the name uncultured bacterium. Its description in RNAcentral is "partial 16S ribosomal RNA". It matches the Rfam family "Bacterial small subunit ribosomal RNA", at positions 28 to 507 of the family's 1533-position model. The record is from RNAcentral.